This 395-nucleotide ribosomal RNA is filed under the name uncultured bacterium. RNAcentral's name for it is "bacterial SSU rRNA". It matches the Rfam family "Bacterial small subunit ribosomal RNA", at positions 28 to 442 of the family's 1533-position model. The record is from RNAcentral.
GAUGAACGCUGGCGGCAUGCCUAACACAUGCAAGUCGAACGAUCUUAACCUCGGUUAAGAUAGUGGCGCACGGGUGAGUAACGCGUAAGAAUCAACCCUGAGGAGGGGGAUAACAGUUGGAAACGACUGCUAAUACCCCAUAUGCUGAGGAGUGAAACGACUUCGGUCGGCCUUGGGACGAGCUUGCGUCUGAUUAGCUAGUUGGUGGGGUAAUUGCCCACCAAGGCGACGAUCAGUAACUGGUCUGAGAGGAUGAUCAGUCACACUGGAACUGAGACACGGUCCAGACUCCUACGGGAGGCAGCAGUGAGGAAUAUUCCGCAAUGGGCGAAAGCCUGACGGAGCAAUGCCGCGUGAAGGAUGAAGGCCUGUGGGUCGUAAACUUCUUUUCUCAG